UACGUAGGGUGCAAGCGUUGUCCGGAAUUAUUGGGCGUAAAGGGCUCGUAGGCGGUCCAUCGCGUCGGGAGUGAAAAGCUGGGGCUUAACCCCAGUCCUGCUUCCGAUACGGGUGGACUAGAGGUAGGUAGGGGAGAACGGAAUUCCUGGUGUAGCGGUGAAAUGCGUAGAUAUCGAGAGGAACACCUGCGGCGAAGGCGGGUUGCUGGGCUGAUACUGACGCUGAGGCGCGAAAGCCAGGGGAGCGAACGGG
Molecule: ribosomal RNA, 253 nt
Filed under: uncultured bacterium
Lineage: Bacteria
Description: partial 16S ribosomal RNA
Rfam family: Bacterial small subunit ribosomal RNA
Source: RNAcentral